UACAGAGGUCUCAAGCGUUGUUCGGAUUCACUGGGCGUAAAGGGUGCGUAGGCGGGCCUUUAAGUCAGGGGUGAAAUCCUGGAGCUCAACUCCAGAACUGCCUUUGAUACUGAAGAUCUUGAGUUCGGGAGAGGUGAGUGGAACUGCGAGUGUAGAGGUGAAAUUCGUAGAUAUUCGCAAGAACACCAGUGGCGAAGGCGGCUCACUGGCCCGAUACUGACGCUGAGGCACGAAAGCGUGGGGAGCAAACAGG
This 253-nucleotide ribosomal RNA is filed under the name uncultured bacterium. Its description in RNAcentral is "partial 16S ribosomal RNA". It matches the Rfam family "Bacterial small subunit ribosomal RNA", at positions 524 to 776 of the family's 1533-position model. The record is from RNAcentral.